AUAGCUGGUUUCUCAAUAAAAGAAUUUUAGUCCAACCUAAAGCAACAGAUAUACACAUAAAUUAACCCCUCACUUUAGAGCAAUUCAAAUAAGGUACAGCCUAUUUGAUACAGGACCCAACCUUAAUUAACGGGUAAUACUCGAUUUACAUCAAUAAGUAGGCCUAAGAGCAGCCAUCUUUUUAAAAGCGUCAUAGCUUAAUCAUGUUAUCCUAAUCCCUCAACCCCACUCGACCCCUUUAAUUGUACUGAGAACUUCUAUAAAAUUAUAGAACUUUUUAUGCUAAAACUAGUAACAAGAGGUAAUCCCUCUCUAUAAUGCAAGUAUAACCCAGCAAGAACCCACCACUGGCAACUAACAGACCUAAACAAAAGUAGCAACCCAUCUAGAAAACCCUACUUCUAUUACUGUUAACCUAAUACUAGAGCAUUUCAAGAAAGAUUAAAAGAAAAAGAAGGAAUUCGGCAAAUAUUAGCCCCGCCUGUUUACCAAAAACAUCGCCUCUUGUCAUCAUAAGAGGUCUAGCCUGCCCAGUGACUUCUGUUCAACGGCCGCGGUAUCCUAACCGUGCGAAGGUAGCGUAAUCACUUGUUUCCUAAAUAGAGACCAGUAUGAAAGGCAUCACGAGGACUAAACUGUCUCCUUUCUCUAAUCAGUGAACCUAAUCCCCCCGUGAAGAAGCGGGGAUUUUUUUAUAAGACGAGAAGACCCUAUGGAGCUUAAAACAUCACACACCUGUCACCCUAUUUUUAAAUACCCCGGUAUCUCUCCCCCCCCCCCCCCGACACGCUGACUAUAUGUUUUUGGUUGGGGUGACCGCGGAGAAGAAUUUAUCCUCCACAAUGAAAGGGAUCUUCCCUGAACAGUAAGCUACAACUUUAUGUACCAGUAAACUGACAUCCAUUGACCCAAUAUAUUGAUUAACGAACCAAGUUACCCUAGGGAUAACAGCGCAAUCCACUUUGAGAGCCCCUAUCGACAAGUGGGCUUACGACCUCGAUGUUGGAUCGGGGUAUCCUAGUGGUGCAGCCGCUACUAAAGGUUCGUUUGUUCAACGAUUAAAACCCCACGUGAUCUGAGUUCAGACCGGAGCAAUCCAGGUCAGUUUCUAUCUAUAAUAGAGCUUUUUUUAGUACGAAAGGACCAAAAUAGCAGGGCCAAUGUCAAUACAAGCCAUAGUUAAUUAUUUUUGAACUCCCCCUCAAAAAAUUAUUAACCUACACUCCCCCUCAAGAAAAGAAUA
RNAcentral lists this ribosomal RNA (1243 nucleotides) under Pristimantis curtipes (Intac robber frog). RNAcentral's name for it is "partial 16S ribosomal RNA". It matches the Rfam family "Bacterial large subunit ribosomal RNA", at positions 845 to 2925 of the family's 2925-position model. Lineage: Eukaryota; Metazoa; Chordata; Amphibia; Anura; Strabomantidae. The record is from RNAcentral.